AACGCAAAUUCACAGUUCUGCUUGCAGUGAUAGGAAAGUUUCUCUUUGAGGUUAGAUGAGAAUCGGACCCAUGACCUUGAGAUAUUUCGUUGCCCUAAUGGUUAUUGAAGGCGAACUGGAGAAUAAAUCGGUCGAUCUUGGGUGCAGCGUUCCUUGGUCUUUAUUGACCUAGAGACUGCCUUCGUGCGUUUCGUCUGGGGAAUGGUGCAAGGAUUGACUGGACAUAU
Molecule: small nucleolar RNA, 227 nt
Filed under: Yamadazyma tenuis ATCC 10573
Lineage: Eukaryota; Fungi; Ascomycota; Pichiomycetes; Serinales; Debaryomycetaceae
Source: RNAcentral